Molecule: ribosomal RNA, 1484 nt
Filed under: Candidatus Pelagibacter sp. RS39
Lineage: Bacteria; Pseudomonadati; Pseudomonadota; Alphaproteobacteria; Candidatus Pelagibacterales; Candidatus Pelagibacteraceae
Description: bacterial SSU rRNA
Rfam family: Bacterial small subunit ribosomal RNA
Source: RNAcentral
UUAAACUUGAGAGUUUGAUCAUGGCUCAGAACGUACGCUGGCGGCACGCCUAACACAUGCAAGUCGAACGAAGUAGCAAUACUUAGUGGCAGACGGGUGAGUAACAUGUAGGUAUCUACCCUAUGGCCUGGAAUAACACGAGGAAACUUGUGCUAAUACUGGAUAAGUCUUUACGGAGAAAGCUUUAUGCACCAUUGGAUGAGCCUGCACUUGAUUAGUUUGUUGGUGGGGUAAUGGCCUACCAAGACUUUGAUCAAUAGCUGAUUUGAGAGGAUGAUCAGCCACAUUGGGACUGAGACACGGCCCAAACUCCUACGGGAGGCAGCAGUGGGGAAUCUUGCACAAUGGAGGAAACUCUGAUGCAGCGAUGCCGCGUGAGUGAAGAAGGCCUUUGGGUUGUAAAGCUCUUUCGUCGGGGAAGAAAAUGACUGUACCCGAAUAAGAAGGUCCGGCUAACUUCGUGCCAGCAGCCGCGGUAAUACGAAGGGACCUAGCGUAGUUCGGAAUUACUGGGCUUAAAGAGUUCGUAGGUGGUUGAAAAAGUUGGUGGUGAAAUCCCAGAGCUUAACUCUGGAACUGCCAUCAAAACUUUUCAGCUAGAGUAUGAUAGAGGAAAGCAGAAUUUCUAGUGUAGAGGUGAAAUUCGUAGAUAUUAGAAAGAAUACCAAUUGCGAAGGCAGCUUUCUGGAUCAUUACUGACACUGAGGAACGAAAGCAUGGGUAGCGAAGAGGAUUAGAUACCCUCGUAGUCCAUGCCGUAAACGAUGUGUGUUAGACGUUGGAAAUUUAUUUUCAGUGUCGCAGUGAAAGCGAUAAACACACCGCCUGGGGAGUACGACCGCAAGGUUAAAACUCAAAUGAAUUGACGGGGACCCGCACAAGUAGUGGAGCAUGUGGUUUAAUUCGAAGAUACGCGCAGAACCUUACCAACACUUGACAUGUUCGUCGCGACUUUAAGAGAUUAAAGUUUUCGGUUCGGCCGGACGAAACACAGGUGCUGCAUGGCUGUCGUCAGCUCGUGUCGUGAGAUGUUGGGUUAAGUCCCGCAACGAGCGCAACCCUCACUUUUAGUUGCCAUCAUUAAGUUGGGCACUCUGAAAGAACUGCCAGUGAUAAGCUGGAGGAAGGUGGGGAUGACGUCAAGUCCUCAUGGCCCUUACGUGUUGGGCUACACACGUGCUACAAUGGUAUAUACAACAGGAAGCAAAACGGCGACGUUAAGCAAAUCCUCAAAAGAUACCUCAGUUCGGAUUGCACUCUGCAACUCGAGUGCAUGAAGCUGGAAUUACUAGUAAUCGUGGAUCAGCGUGCCACGGUGAAUGCGUUCCCGGGUCUUGUACACACCGCCCGUCACACCAUGGGAGUUGGUUCUACCUUAAGGCAAGGUUUCAAACCCUUGACCACGGUAUAGUCAGCGACUGGGGUGAAGUCGUAACAAGGUAGCCGUAGGGGAACCUGCGGCUGGAUUACCUCCUUUCUAAGGA